AGAACGAACGCUGGCGGCAGGCCUCAAACAUGCAAGUCUAGGGGGUGUAGCAAUACAUCACCGGCGGACGGGUGCGUAACGCGUGGGAAUGUACCUAUUGGUUCGGAACAACUGAGGGAAACUUCAGCUAAUACCGGAUGAGCCCGAAAGGGGAAAGAUUUCUCGCCAAUAGAUCAGCCCGCGUCCGAUUAGCUAGUUGGUGGGGUUAAAGCCUACCAAGGCGACGAUCGGUAGCUGUUCUGAGAGGAAGAUCAGCCACACUGGGACUGAGACACGGCCCAGACUCCUACGGGAGGCAGCAGUUGGGAAUCUUGGACAAUGGGGAAACCCUGAUCCAGCCAUGCCGCGUGAGUGAUGAAGGCCUUCGGGUUGUAAACUCUUUCGACGGGGACGAUAAUGACGGUACCCGUAGAAGAAGCUCCGGCUAACUUCGUGCCAGCAGCCGC
Molecule: ribosomal RNA, 446 nt
Filed under: uncultured bacterium
Lineage: Bacteria
Description: SSU rRNA
Rfam family: Bacterial small subunit ribosomal RNA
Source: RNAcentral